GAGAGAGUGCAGUCCAAUUAUCAAGCCUUGCUUUAUGUGCACACACGUCUCCAGGGGAGUGAGUCACACUCCAGACGGCGAUUUUGUCGGAUUUACCAGCGGUCACAUCAUGUGAACUCAUCCAUGGUACUUCAAUCAGAAACCGGAAAUUCCACGGCCGCCCAUGAUGGUGCUUUUAGCGUUCGCCAAACGGGCACCAGCACUAGUCGCCGCGUCGCACACUUUCUGCGUUUUUCACGCUGCUCGAGCUCGAGUUUUUCGCUCUUUUCAACCGGCUAAUUAAAACGACGCGGCGCUCCGAGCGAGAGAUGUUUGUUCUGUAAAUAAGCCGGCGCGCAUAAUGAGCAUGAAG
Long non-coding RNA from Neocloeon triangulifer, 352 nucleotides. RefSeq lists it as uncharacterized. The record is from RefSeq and is a predicted model, not a curated record. The transcript is spliced from 3 exons. NCBI's taxonomy places the organism in Eukaryota, Metazoa, Arthropoda, Insecta, Ephemeroptera, Baetidae.